RNAcentral lists this ribosomal RNA (497 nucleotides) under uncultured bacterium. Its description in RNAcentral is "partial 16S ribosomal RNA". It matches the Rfam family "Bacterial small subunit ribosomal RNA", at positions 28 to 507 of the family's 1533-position model. The record is from RNAcentral.
GAUGAACGCUGGCGGCGUGCCUAAUACAUGCAAGUCGAGCGAACGGACGAGAAGCUUGCUUCUCUGAUGUUAGCGGCGGACGGGUGAGUAACACGUGGAUAACCUACCUAUAAGACUGGGAUAACUUCGGGAAACCGGAGCUAAUACCGGAUGAUAUUUUGAACCGCAUGGUUCAAAAGUGAAAGACGGUCUUGCUGUCACUUAUAGAUGGAUCCGCGCUGCAUUAGCUAGUUGGUAAGGUAACGGCUUACCAAGGCAACGAUGCAUAGCCGACCUGAGAGGGUGAUCCGCCCCACUGGAACUGAGACACGGUCCCGACUCCUACGGGAGGCCGCCGUAGGGAAUCCUCCGCAAUGGGCGAAAGCCUGACGGAGCAACGCCGCGUGAGUGAUGAAGGUCUUCGGAUCGUAAAACUCUGUUAUUAGGGAAGAACAUAUGUGUAAGUAACUGUGCACAUCUUGACGGUACCUAAUCAGAAAGCCACGGCUAACUACGUG